AUGCAAGUCGAGCGAACGGACGAGAAGCUUGCUUCUCUGAUGUUAGCGGCGGACGGGUGAGUAACACGUGGAUAACCUACCUAUAAGACUGGGAUAACUUCGGGAAACCGGAGCUAAUACCGGAUAAUAUUUUGAACCGCAUGGUUCAAAAGUGAAAGACGGUCUUGCUGUCACUUAUAGAUGGAUCCGCGCUGCAUUAGCUAGUUGGUAAGGUAACGGCUUACCAAGGCAACGAUGCAUAGCCGACCUGAGAGGGUGAUCGGCCACACUGGAACUGAGACACGGUCCAGACUCCUACGGGAGGCAGCAGUAGGGAAUCUUCCGCAAUGGGCGAAAGCCUGACGGAGCAACGCCGCGUGAGUGAUGAAGGUCUUCGGAUCGUAAAACUCUGUUAUUAGGGAAGAACAUAUGUGUAAGUAACUGUGCACAUCUUGACGGUACCUAAUCAGAAAGCCACGGCUAACUACGUGCCAGCAGCCGCGGUAAUACGUAGGUGGCAAGCGUUAUCCGGAAUUAUUGGGCGUAAAGCGCGCGUAGGCGGUUUUUUAAGUCUGAUGUGAAAGCCCACGGCUCAACCGUGGAGGGUCAUUGGAAACUGGAAAACUUGAGUGCAGAAGAGGAAAGUGGAAUUCCAUGUGUAGCGGUGAAAUGCGCAGAGAUAUGGAGGAACACCAGUGGCGAAGGCGACUUUCUGGUCUGUAACUGACGCUGAUGUGCGAAAGCGUGGGGAUCAAACAGGAUUAGAUACCCUGGUAGUCCACGCCGUAAACGAUGAGUGCUAAGUGUUAGGGGGUUUCCGCCCCUUAGUGCUGCAGCUAACGCAUUAAGCACUCCGCCUGGGGAGUACGACCGCAAGGUUGAAACUCAAAGGAAUUGACGGGGACCCGCACAAGCGGUGGAGCAUGUGGUUUAAUUCGAAGCAACGCGAAGAACCUUACCAAAUCUUGACAUCCUUUGACAACUCUAGAGAUAGAGCUUUCCCCUUCGGGGGACAAAGUGACAGGUGGUGCAUGGUUGUCGUCAGCUCGUGUCGUGAGAUGUUGGGUUAAGUCCCGCAACGAGCGCAACCCUUAAGCUUAGUUGCCAUCAUUAAGUUGGGCACUCUAAGUUGACUGCCGGUGACAAACCGGAGGAAGGUGGGGAUGACGUCAAAUCAUCAUGCCCCUUAUGAUUUGGGCUACACACGUGCUACAAUGGACAAUACAAAGGGCAGCGAAACCGCGAGGUCAAGCAAAUCCCAUAAAGUUGUUCUCAGUUCGGAUUGUAGUCUGCAACUCGACUACAUGAAGCUGGAAUCGCUAGUAAUCGUAGAUCAGCAUGCUACGGUGAAUACGUUCCCGGGUCUUGUACACACCGCCCGUCACACCACGAGAGUUUGUAACACCCGAAGCCGGUGGAGUAA
Molecule: ribosomal RNA, 1402 nt
Filed under: Staphylococcus aureus
Lineage: Bacteria; Bacillati; Bacillota; Bacilli; Caryophanales; Staphylococcaceae
Description: bacterial SSU rRNA
Rfam family: Bacterial small subunit ribosomal RNA
Source: RNAcentral